GACGAACGCUGGCGGCGUGCCUAAUACAUGCAAGUCGAACGCACAGUUUAUACCGUAGCUUGCUACACCAUAAACUGUGAGUUGCGAACGGGUGAGUAACGCGUAGGUAACCUGCCUGGUAGCGGGGGAUAACUCUUGGAAACGAUAGCUAAUACCGCAUAAUAUUGAUUAUUGCAUGAUAAUUGAUUGAAAGAUGCUAUUGCAUCACUACCAGAUGGACCUGCGUUGUAUUAGCUAGUAGGUGAGGUAACGGCUCACCUAGGCGACGAUACAUAGCCGACCUGAGAGGGUGAUCGGCCACACUGGGACUGAGACACGGCCCAGACUCCUACGGGAGGCAGCAGUAGGGAAUCUUCGGCAAUGGACGAAAGUCUGACCGAGCAACGCCGCGUGAGUGAAGAAGGUUUUCGGAUCGUAAAGCUCUGUUGUAAGAGAAGAACGGGUGUGAGAGUGGAAAGUUCACACUGUGACGGUAUCUUACCAGAAAGGGACGGCUAACUACGUG
RNAcentral lists this ribosomal RNA (505 nucleotides) under uncultured bacterium. Its description in RNAcentral is "partial 16S ribosomal RNA". It matches the Rfam family "Bacterial small subunit ribosomal RNA", at positions 28 to 507 of the family's 1533-position model. The record is from RNAcentral.